CGGGGUAUAGCGCAGUUGGUAGCGCGUCUGGUUUGGGACCAGAAAGUCGCCAGUUCAAAUCUGGCUACCCCGACCA
RNAcentral lists this transfer RNA (76 nucleotides) under Lentisphaerota bacterium. RNAcentral's name for it is "Lentisphaerae bacterium tRNA-Pro". It matches the Rfam family "tRNA". Rfam says of the family: Transfer RNA (tRNA) molecules are approximately 80 nucleotides in length. Their secondary structure includes four short double-helical elements and three loops (D, anti-codon, and T loops). Further hydrogen bonds mediate the characteristic L-shaped molecular structure. tRNAs have two regions of fundamental functional importance: the anti-codon, which is responsible for specific mRNA codon recognition, and the 3' end, to which the tRNAs corresponding amino acid is attached (by aminoacyl-tRNA synthetases). tRNAs cope with the degeneracy of the genetic code in two manners: having more than one tRNA (with a specific anti-codon) for a particular amino acid; and 'wobble' base-pairing, i.e. permitting non-standard base-pairing at the 3rd anti-codon position. The record is from RNAcentral. RNAcentral also lists the same sequence under 1 other name. Lineage: Bacteria; Pseudomonadati; Lentisphaerota.